AUGGAGCAAUUGGAGAAGAGGAUGGAUGCUGCUGAACAACAAAUCAAAGAGCUGCGUGAAGAUCUUAAUAGGAGAUUUGACCAGCUGGUUGAGAUGAUAAGAAAGGGUGUCCCCCCUGCUACCAAUGAAGGAGAUUCAUCUAAAGAAGAGGAAGAUGUUCAUCAAGGAAGAAGGAGAGGUAAUCUUGGAGCAAGACCGCCACGACAGCAUGUUGUUCAACGUGCUUCAAGAAGGCCAAUUUAUGUUGAGGCUUCUGAAGGUGAAGAAUAUGAUGAUGCCCUUGAAGAGCCAAAUCUCUACGCAUAUCGGAGAGCACCCAACCCUACAUAUGCAAGAGAUACAUACAAGGUGAAAGCUGAGAUCCCAAGUUUUAAUGGAAAUGUUGACAUUGAAGGGUGCCUGGAUUGGUUAUAUGAAGUGGAGACUUUCUUUGAGGUCAUGGAGGUUCCGGAAGAUCGUAGAGUUCCUUUGGUCGCAUACAAACUGAAAGGAGGAGCCGGUGCAUGGUGGCAUCGCGUUCAAGAGGAGCGCAGGCUGAGAGGAGAACCUCGUGUUAGAACUUGGCGACAAAUGAAAGGCCUCUUGAAAGGGAGAUUUUUGCCCGCUGAUUAUGACCAGAUCCUAUUUAUCCAAUUUCAAAAUUGUGCUCAAGGAAAUAGGACUGUUUCAGAUUACAUGGAGGAGUUUCUAAGGCUACAAGUGAGGUGCAACCUUGCUGAAACUGAAGAGCAACAAGUUGCAAGGUACGUCAAUGGUCUCAAUGAUGCUAUUCAAGAUCGAUUGAUGAUGCAACAAAUCUGGUCCGUUGAUCAAGCACAAGCUCUAGCCUUAAAGGCCGAGAGGUUUGUGAGGAUGAGAAAGACAACUAAGGCUCCAUAUCCUCCAUAUCCUCAUACCGAAGGCUCAUCUAGGAGCCAACCUAAUAGAGUGGAAGAAAAGACCACUCCACCAAAGACAAAACAGCCCAUCCCGAAGCAAACUAGAGGCAAGGGUAAGGCAAAUGAAGGUCCAAAGUGCUAUAAAUGUGGUAAAGAGGGACACAUAUCCAGCGGCUGCCCACUAAGGAAAUUUGUUAACACGACUAUCCAUGAUAGUGAAAGCGAUGAGGAAGAAUACGAAUCUGAAGCGGACAAGAGGUUUGUCAAGAAGAAGGUGAAGAGGUGGUAUGUGUGA
RNAcentral lists this ribosomal RNA (1173 nucleotides) under Triticum aestivum (bread wheat). Its description in RNAcentral is "partial small subunit ribosomal RNA". The record is from RNAcentral. Lineage: Eukaryota; Viridiplantae; Streptophyta; Magnoliopsida; Poales; Poaceae.